UGGAAUCCUGCUGCUCUCCUUGGUAUUGAAACUGCACUCCUUGGUAGGUGAACUUGGUCUUAGCUGGAUUUCUUGUUGAUCUUCUGGGGGAGGGGCCUGUUGUAGUGAUUAUCAAGUGUCUUUGGCCCAGGCGGAAUUGCACCGCCCUUACCAGGGCCCAGGCUGAGUAAUCCACUCGGGUUUGCUUUCAGGAGCUUUUGUUCCCUGAGCACUUUCCGUAGAGUUCUGGAGAACAAGAAUACAAAUGGCGGCCUCCUGGUCUUUGGCCCAGAGGAGCCGAGAGCUCGGGCCCCACUCCUCUGUGCACCCUCAGACAACAGCGCCCAGUAACUCCCGUCUGCCUGACCUCCAGCCAUGCUCCGAGCUCACCGAGCCUGCGACUGUUUCAAGAAUUGCUGUUCUUCUUCUCUUCGAUCUGCCGAUGGAUUUGCAGGUAUUUGCAAUCUUUAGAUAAGCUAUCUAGCUGAUCUCCUGCUAGCUGAAGUAGUCUCAGCCUGCUACUUCUCCACCAUCUUGACUCCUCCCCCCUUGUUUCUGUAUCUUGACUAUUGUGAAUAAUGCUUCAGUGAACAUGGGAAAGCAGAUAUCUCCUCAGUAUCCUUUGGA
This 606-nucleotide long non-coding RNA is filed under the name Mustela putorius furo (domestic ferret). RNAcentral describes it as "lncRNA (ENSMPUG00000029003.1)". The record is from RNAcentral. Lineage: Eukaryota; Metazoa; Chordata; Mammalia; Carnivora; Mustelidae.